This 253-nucleotide ribosomal RNA is filed under the name uncultured bacterium. RNAcentral's name for it is "partial 16S ribosomal RNA". It matches the Rfam family "Bacterial small subunit ribosomal RNA", at positions 524 to 776 of the family's 1533-position model. The record is from RNAcentral.
GACGAACCGAGCGAACGUUGUUCGGAAUCACUGGGCUUAAAGAGCUCGUAGGCGGCCGGUUGCGUCUGCUGUGAAAUCCCGGGGCUUAACCCCGGGCGUGCAGUGGAUACGGGCCGGCUGGAGGCAGGCAGGGGAGAAUGGAAUUCCCGGUGUAGCGGUGAAAUGCGCAGAUAUCGGGAGGAACACCGGUGGCGAAGGCGGUUCUCUGGGCCUGUACUGACGCUGAGGAGCGAAAGCGUGGGGAGCGAACAGG